CCUACGGGAGGCUGCAGUGAGGAAUAUUGGUCAAUGGACGCAAGUCUGACCCAGCCAUGCCGCGUGCAGGAAGACGGCUCUAUGAGUUGUAAACUGCUUUUGUCCGGAGGUAAACGCAGAUACGCGUAUCUGUCUGAAAGUCUCGUACGAAUAAGGAUCGGCUAACUCCGUGCCAGCAGCCGCGGUAAGACGGAGGAUUCAAGCGUUAUCCGGAUUUAUUGGGUUUAAAGGGUGCGUAGGCGGUCGGAUAAGUUAGAGGUGAAAUCCAGAGGCUCAACUUCGGAAUUGCCUCUGAUACUGUGCGGCUAGAGAGUAGUUGCGGUAGGCGGAAUGUAUGGUGUAGAGGUGAAAUGCUUAGAGAUCAGACAGAACACCGAUUGCGAAGGCAGCUUACCAAGCUACUUCUGACGUUGAGGCACGAAAGCGUGGGGAGCAAACAGGAUUAGAUACCCGGGUAGUC
This 460-nucleotide ribosomal RNA is filed under the name uncultured bacterium. Its description in RNAcentral is "partial 16S ribosomal RNA". It matches the Rfam family "Bacterial small subunit ribosomal RNA", at positions 338 to 795 of the family's 1533-position model. The record is from RNAcentral.